RNAcentral lists this transfer RNA (77 nucleotides) under Candidatus Dadabacteria bacterium. RNAcentral describes it as "tRNA-Gly". It matches the Rfam family "tRNA". Rfam says of the family: Transfer RNA (tRNA) molecules are approximately 80 nucleotides in length. Their secondary structure includes four short double-helical elements and three loops (D, anti-codon, and T loops). RNAcentral also lists the same sequence under 2 other names. Lineage: Bacteria; Pseudomonadati; Thermodesulfobacteriota; Candidatus Dadabacteria. The record is from RNAcentral.
GCGGGUGUAGCUCAGCUGGCUAGAGCAUAAGCUUCCCAAGCUUAGGGUCGCGGGUUCGAAUCCCGUCACCCGCUCCA